RNAcentral lists this ribosomal RNA (446 nucleotides) under uncultured bacterium. RNAcentral describes it as "partial 16S ribosomal RNA". It matches the Rfam family "Bacterial small subunit ribosomal RNA", at positions 331 to 794 of the family's 1533-position model. The record is from RNAcentral.
CCAGACUCUUACGGGAGGCAGCAGUGGGGAAUAUUGCACAAUGGGGGGAACCCUGAUGCAGCGACGCCGCGUGGGUGAAGGAGCACCUCGGUGCGUAAAGCCCUAUCGGCAGGGAAGAAACAGACGGUACCUGACUAAGAAGCCCCGGCUAACUACGUGCCAGCAGCCGCGGUAAUACGUAGGGGGCAAGCGUUAUCCGGAUUUACUGGGUGUAAAGGGAGCGUAGACGGCUGUGCAAGUCUGAAGUGAAAGGCCGGGGCCCAACCCCGGGAGUGCUUUGGAAACUGUGCGGCUAGAGUGUCGGAGAGGCAAGUGGAAUUCCAGGUGUAGGAGUGAAAUCCGUAGAUAUCUGGAGGAACAUCAGUGGCGAAGGCGACUAUCUGGCACAUAACUGACGCUGAGGAGCGAAAGCGUGGGUAGCAAACAGGAUUAGAUACCCCGGUACC